Lolium rigidum is the source of this 763-nucleotide long non-coding RNA. RefSeq lists it as uncharacterized. The transcript is spliced from 3 exons. NCBI's taxonomy places the organism in Eukaryota, Viridiplantae, Streptophyta, Magnoliopsida, Poales, Poaceae. The record is from RefSeq and is a predicted model, not a curated record.
CUGUAUUGUACUUCGGUUAUUCCUGAAACUGCCACUCUGUCCUGCUCCAAGCACUGAACAUUCGUACACAGUAGAAGAGAGUGCAGGUUUAGUUUCGAUGACGAUACAUGCUUUAAUUUCUCAACUAAAAAAACUUUAACCAGCUUGUCCAGUUGGAUAGUUCUACACUUCGUCUCUAAUCCCAAAAAAAACACACACGCUCUUGCUGCUAGAUUACUGCGUUUCCUUGCAUAUAAAGUCAAUGCCAUGUCCAAUGUGCAGCAAUUUGCAAAUACUACAUCAAGUCGAGGUCUGUGUAAAUUUCUUUGGCUGAUUCUACUUUUUUUGUUGCUUUGCUUUCUGCAAGCAUGGAGACGGCACCAGGCCGCAGCCACGAGCAUCGUCCAUUCCCAUCGACGAUGAGGGGCACGCAUCAUCUGGUUUUGAAGAACAGUAAGCAUUGCAGAGCGUGCUGAUGGCUUUGAUCAGCAUUGCAGACAUUCUUCCAAGUGAAAGGGAAGCAACGUGGGUUCAUCAGCAGCGGUCGAUGAGACAUUGUCUUGUUCAUACUUCUGAGUGCAAUCGGGCACAUGGAGUACUAUGGGUAGGUACACUGACAAUCAAGGCAUGGCAUAUCUGUACAGGUUCUUAUUUCUUCAAAAUCCCUCAUAUAACUGAAUUUUGUUUCUCCAAUACACUUACAGUCAACUUACAUGCUCAUCAUGAUUAUUUAUAUGUAACUUAUGUUUUAUUGGGAGUCUGAAUUUUCUCUUGCUACUUUCAA